CUACAUGAUCCAGAGGAAUUGUUUCUGCAUAAUCCAUAGGAAUUGCUGCACAAACCAGAAACACUUAGAAGCAUAUACUUCCGAUCUAACAAGCAUAGGCAUAAACAAGCAUACAGUUUUUUUUAUCAGAAAAGGAAUGGAAUAAAUAUUUGAUCAUUGAGUUUUUUUAUCAACAAAAGGAAUAGAAUAAAUAUUUGAUCAUUUAAGGAAUGCUCCAAUCCGUAUACAAGUAAACCUGAUAAUAGAACACUACAAGAAAAUCAUGAAAUAGAAACCAAUUUUUAAAUACCAAAAUAAUUAGUUGCAAUAGUAACUAAAUUAGAG
Molecule: long non-coding RNA, 324 nt
Filed under: Phaseolus vulgaris (common bean)
Lineage: Eukaryota; Viridiplantae; Streptophyta; Magnoliopsida; Fabales; Fabaceae
Description: long non-coding RNA (PVUL_LNC004062)
Source: RNAcentral